UACGUAGGGUCCGAGCGUUGUCCGGAAUUAUUGGGCGUAAAGGGCUCGUAGGCGGUUCGUCACGUCGGGAGUGAAAACUCGGAGCUUAACUCCGAGCCUGCUUCCGAUACGGGCAGACUAGAGGUAGGCAGGGGAGAGCGGAACUCCUGGUGUAGCGGUGGAAUGCGCAGAUAUCAGGAAGAACACCCGUGGCGAAGGCGGCUUUCUGGGACGGUACUGACGCUGAGACGCGAAAGCGUGGGGAGCGAACAGG
Molecule: ribosomal RNA, 253 nt
Filed under: uncultured bacterium
Lineage: Bacteria
Description: partial 16S ribosomal RNA
Rfam family: Bacterial small subunit ribosomal RNA
Source: RNAcentral